This 285-nucleotide long non-coding RNA is filed under the name Brassica napus (rape). RNAcentral's name for it is "long non-coding RNA (BNAP_LNC016790)". The record is from RNAcentral. Lineage: Eukaryota; Viridiplantae; Streptophyta; Magnoliopsida; Brassicales; Brassicaceae.
CUCGUCCUCAGUCUCAUCAGCUGGUUUUAGAUCAGUAUCCUCACCAUUAAUCCAUCCUGGUUUGUCCUUUGUUGAAGAAUCAUCUGGCUCAGCCAUGGUCGCAUCAUCCUGGCCCGGGUCUAUGAUCCGAGGCGCAUCAUUCCCUCCCUCUUGAAAAGGAUUUGACCUCAAAUCCAUUUUACCUGUAUCAAAAGGAAAUGAAUCAGACAAAAAGAAUUUAAAAAUCAUGUAAAAUUUAGUGAAGGAAAAUUUUGGAAAGAAACUUCCUUGGAGUUUUGAAGUUGG